AAAGGAAUUGACGGGGGCCCGCACAAGCGGUGGAGCAUGUGGUUUAAUUCGACGCAACGCGAGAAACCUUACCUGGGUUUGACAUCCGGAGAACCCGCCAGAGAUGGUGGGGUGCCGUAAGGAACUCCGAGACAGGUGCUGCAUGGCUGUCGUCAGCUCGUGUCGUGAGAUGUUCGGUUAAGUCCGGCAACGAGCGCAACCCCUGCCAUUAGUUGCUAACAUUCAGUUGAGCACUCUAAUGGGACCGCCGGCGUCAAGCCGGAGGAAGGUGGGGAUGACGUCAAGUCCUCAUGGCCCUUAUAUCCAGGGCGACACACGUGCUACAAUGGACAAUACAAAGGGUUGCCAACCCGCGAGGGGGAGCUAAUCCCACAAAAUUGUCCUCAGUUCGGAUUGGAGUCUGCAACUCGACUCCAUGAAGCUGGAAUCGCUAGUAAUCGUGGAUCAGCCACGCCACGGUGAAUACGUUCCCGGGCCUUGUACACACCGCCCGU
This 494-nucleotide ribosomal RNA is filed under the name uncultured bacterium. RNAcentral describes it as "bacterial SSU rRNA". It matches the Rfam family "Bacterial small subunit ribosomal RNA", at positions 903 to 1397 of the family's 1533-position model. The record is from RNAcentral.